GCGCCUUUAGCUCAGUGGAUAGAGCACUUGUCUUCGGAACAAGGGGUCGGGGGUUCGAAUCCCUCAGGGCGCA
This 73-nucleotide transfer RNA is filed under the name Candidatus Moraniibacteriota bacterium. Its description in RNAcentral is "tRNA-Arg". It matches the Rfam family "tRNA". Rfam says of the family: Transfer RNA (tRNA) molecules are approximately 80 nucleotides in length. The record is from RNAcentral. Lineage: Bacteria; Candidatus Moraniibacteriota.